RNAcentral lists this ribosomal RNA (497 nucleotides) under uncultured bacterium. RNAcentral describes it as "partial 16S ribosomal RNA". It matches the Rfam family "Bacterial small subunit ribosomal RNA", at positions 28 to 507 of the family's 1533-position model. The record is from RNAcentral.
GACGAACGCUGGCGGCGUGCCUAAUACAUGCAAGUUGAGCGAUGAAGAUUGGUGCUUGCACCAAUUUGAAGAGCAGCGAACGGGUGAGUAACGCGUGGGGAAUCUGCCUUUGAGCGGGGGACAACAUUUGGAAACGAAUGCUAAUACCGCAUAACAACUUUAAACAUAAGUUUUAAGUUUGAAAGAUGCAAUUGCAUCACUCAAAGUUGAUCCCGCGUUGUAUUAGCUAGUUGGUGAGGUAAAGGCUCACCAAGGCGAUGAUACAUAGCCGACCUGAGAGGGUGAUCGGCCACAUUGGGACUGAGACACGGCCCAAACGCCUACGGGAGGCAGCAGGAGGGAAUCUUCGGCAAUGGACGAAAGUCAGGACGGGCAACGCCGCGUGAGGGAAGAAGGGUGUCGGAUCGUAAAACUCUGUUGGUAGAGAAGAACGUUGGUGAGAGUGGAAAGCUCAUCAAGUGACGGUAACUACCCAGAAAGGGACGGCUAACUACGUG